This 497-nucleotide ribosomal RNA is filed under the name uncultured bacterium. RNAcentral describes it as "partial 16S ribosomal RNA". It matches the Rfam family "Bacterial small subunit ribosomal RNA", at positions 29 to 507 of the family's 1533-position model. The record is from RNAcentral.
AGUGAACGCUGGCGGCGUGCCUAAUACAUGCCAGUCGAGCGACCGGACGGGAAGCUUGUUCUCUUGAUGUUGGCGGCGGACGGGCGGGUAACGCAUGGAUCACAUUCUUCUUUGUCUGGGAUGAUAACGGGAGACAGGAGACGCUACUGGAUCAUAUUUCCUACGGCAUGAUGCAAAAGUGCUUCACGCUUUUCCUGUCAGUUAUAGAUGGUUUCGCGUUGCAUUAGCUAGUUGGUAAGGUAACGGCUUACCAAGGCAACGAUGCAUAGCCGACCCGAGAGGAUGAUCGGCCACACUGGAACUGAGACACGGUCCAGACUCCUACGGGAGGCAGCAGUAGGGAAUCUUCCGCAAUGGGCGAAAGCCUGACGGAGCAACGCCGCGUGGGUGAUGAAGGUCUUCGGAUUGUAAAGCCCUUUUGUUGGGGAAGAACAGAUGUGUAUUUAUCUGUGGACAUCUUGACGGUACCUAAUCAAAAAGCCCCGGCUAACUACGUG